Hydra vulgaris (swiftwater hydra) is the source of this 767-nucleotide non-coding RNA. The record is from RefSeq and is a predicted model, not a curated record. NCBI's taxonomy places the organism in Eukaryota, Metazoa, Cnidaria, Hydrozoa, Anthoathecata, Hydridae.
UAUUGGAGACAGAGAUACGAAGCGGUUUUAUGGCUUAAUAAAAAUAGUUUAUGUUUAAUUUGUUUAGAAAAAAAAGGUAAACAAUCAUAUCAUUAUUUAAAGUACAACCAUCGAUGGCAAAUAAAAUUAAAGAAUAUAUUUUGCCUGUGUAAAAUACAGGGUUUAUUGUGUAAUUUGUUUAAAUUGUAAAAGAAACAUCUCUUUGUUGGAGAAAUGAUCAAGCAUUUAUCUGUCAAACUGGAUGAGUUCACAAGCCAAGAAUAUGACGUAGUAUUGAGCUUAAUGAUAAUAUUGAAUUAUCUUAAUUUAAAAACACAACCUGUCUAAUCUCUGAUGGAAAUUAAGUGCUGUUGCUUCUUCUAACUUUUUGAUGUCAUUACAACUGUUGCUCUAGUAAGGCUGUUUGUCAGAAAAACUUGAUCCAACAUUAUGCAAGCAAGUUGCUUCAGACAUAAUCAAAAACAAGAUGGAGCGAGAAGACCAGCCUAAUAAAAUAUUUAAAGGUAUGUUUUCGAAACCAGAUAGCCCAAUUCUAAGAAAAACGUAAAAAUUGUUUUUACGUUGAUAAGGCUGGUUUGCUGCUUUAAAUGAACUUCUUUUUGAUGGUGCAAAGUGUUGCUGAGUUAACUGACAUAUAAAUUAGUAAAGAUCGUGGGCAAGAUUGAGUGAUAGGCAAAAUUAUGCAAAAUUAUGCAAAACUACCCUAAAGCAAAAAAAUUUUUCCAACGUUGGUUUGCUAUGAGAUAUAAUCUUUAUCUCAAUUGCUU